Molecule: unclassified non-coding RNA, 809 nt
Filed under: Hevea brasiliensis (rubber tree)
Lineage: Eukaryota; Viridiplantae; Streptophyta; Magnoliopsida; Malpighiales; Euphorbiaceae
Source: RNAcentral
AACCAAUCUUCCAAUCCUCUGCUUCAUCUUGCUUUUUGCUUCUAAAAAAUCUAAAACGAAAACUGCCGAGGCUGACUCAUUUUUCUUGUGAUAGCAAUACAAAUAUUGAGGGUGUCGUAUGGCGAGUCUCAUAACUAUGCCUGCUUUAAGCCACUUAUCCACCAACACUAUCAGCCUAGAACGAAGAAAUUUAUGUGCAUCCUCCAGGAGACGUCGAGGAGUUAGGGCAAUGAUGACAGAAAAACCACUGGAGGAGCUGUAUCAUGUGAGAGUAGAGAGAAAUGUAACAAAAGAUCGACUAAUGGAGCUUGGUGUUCAACGAUGGUCAAUGUGGAAAACCGGCAAAUGCAAGUUACCUUGGGAUUGGCAUGUAGACCAGUUGGUUUACAUUGAAGAAGGUGAGGUAAGGGUUGUACCUGAAGGAAGCAAAAGAUUUAUGCAGUUUGUAGCAGGCGACCUUGUCCGCUAUCCAAAAUGGUUUGAAGCUGAUCUCUACUUUAAUGACUUCUACCAAGAGCGAUAUAGAUUUCAAGCAUAUGGAGAUGACUAGUGAAUCAAUUUCCUACAACUAGGCUCUUAAUUCCCGGGCUUCUAGUUACUGCACUUGCUAGUUAUCUGUUUCAUAAGCAUAUUUAGAUUGCUGUUGUAAUACAAAUGGUAGAACAUGGUAAUGGUAAGGUGGCCAGAUAACAUUCAAUCCAUUAGUGGUACGAAUGAUUUAUCUUUUCACCGGCCAAUUCCGACAUAGAUCUUGACUACAAUCUUCCGUCAUCUCCUCUCUGGAUGAUAAACGUUUUUUUUUUCGGCCA